Molecule: unclassified non-coding RNA, 329 nt
Filed under: soil metagenome
Description: partial contains 5.8S ribosomal RNA, internal transcribed spacer 2, and large subunit ribosomal RNA
Rfam family: 5.8S ribosomal RNA (bases 1-120)
Source: RNAcentral
GAUGAAGAACGUAGCGAAAUGCGAUAAUUAAUGUGAAUUGCAGAAUUCAGUGAAUCAUCGAAUCUUUGAACGCACAUUGCGCCCUCUGGUAUUCCGGGGGGCAUGCCUGUUCGAGCGUCAUUAUAACCACUCAAGCUCUCGCUUGGUAUUGGAGUUCGCGAUCUCGCGGCUCCUAAAAUCAGUGGCGGUGCCUGUCGGCUCUACGCGUAGUAAUACUCCUCGCGAUUGAGUCCGGUAGGUUUACUUGCCAGCAACCCCCAAUUUUUACAGGUUGACCUCGGAUCAGGUAGGGAUACCCGCUGAACUUAAGCAUAUCAAUAAGCGGAGGA